This 210-nucleotide non-coding RNA is filed under the name Oceanibaculum pacificum. The record is from RNAcentral. Lineage: Bacteria; Pseudomonadati; Pseudomonadota; Alphaproteobacteria; Rhodospirillales; Oceanibaculaceae.
ACAAGAUAUAGACGUUACGGUAUCCGAGGUGUCAGCAUCUUGGUCGGGAAUCCGGUGCGCCGCGCCAAGACGGUAAAGCCGGGGCUGCCCCCGCAACUGUAAGCGGUUAGCUUUGCGUCCUUUCUUGCCACUGGUGCGCCACGUGCUGGGAAGGCUGGACCAAAGCGCGGAGCCGCGAGCCAGGAGACCGGCCGUAACGCAUGCGUAAUC